UUAGAAACCAUAAUAUUUUGAAAGAUAUGUAGGAUUCUACAACUGCUAAAACUAAUGCCGUUGCUGCAUUGCUACCUCCAGAUAAUUUCUAUUACCAUCAAUAAAUAAUAAACGAAGCCAUACUGAGGUAAGUAAAUUUUCUCUAGUUGACAUGUGUUUGUCUUGUUCACAAUGUAACAUCAUGCUUUGAAGGCUUUAACUUUCUAUUUGUCUUUCCUGGUUCUAACAUUAAAAACCUUGUAAACAGUAUUGUGGUUGUUUCUCUUCUGACAGUUUUGGUAAGGUGAUCUUGUUAAGUCUAGUGCGUGACUAUUGUAAAUAUCCUAGGGAUGGUACAAGGAAGGGUAGUUUUGCCAGCUCAGUAACAGACCUUAUGUCAAUUAGUUGAGAUAUAUUGUGGGUUGAUGUAAGAUUUUGGUUUGGGCAUUGGUUGAGAGUUAUAGACUCUCUCGUUGAUCAAGUCUCUUCUAACGUGUAGUUCUUUAGAGUUUAGCAGAAAUGAAUCCUAUCACAGUUCCUUUAACUAACUCCACACUUAUGAUUUAGAUUUGUACGUUUGAGUUCAUUUAGUCAUUUUAGUAUAUUAGUUCACCACUUUAGUGUCAACUAGUAUAUAUAUAUAUUUGUCAUCAAUAUCAGCAUAUAUAACUCCUGUCAGAACCAUCAUUUACUGAUAGUCUCAAAUGUGAAAAGACUUGUCUUCCUUUGUCAAUCAUAAAAGAAUACUAAAAUAUGCAACAAUCAUCCUAAACAGUUUGAGUUAUUGAACAUUGAUAUUAUCAACUCAGAAAGAAUCUGUACGACUGUUUAUAGAGUCUUCGAGCAUUUGACUAUUUGCAGCUGAAAGCUUAAGAAGGGAGAACUGAGUUCUUUUAGCAUGUGUAUUUUUUUCAGGGGCUGCUACUACCAUUAUUGGGGUGAUUGAUGAUCCUCUGGAGAAUCACAGUCCUUAGCCCUUGUAAUAUCUCUGCUGCACAAAUCCACAAGAAUCCCCAGUUCCUCUAUAUUCUUCUUAAAAACCUCAAGAAUCCUCUUAAUGGCAUUGAUCCCCAUCUUGACUGCAGCAUGCUCCACCGCAUAGUCGUCAUUCUUAUUUAUAAUCCUGAGGUCAGUAUUCAACUCUUGGAUCAAAGACCGGAUAUCAUACAAAUCCUUCACUGCACCUGUCUUACACGUUUGCGGACCAAACAUAGCCGCAGUGAUACCCAGUGUCACUUAGGUAGUAGCAAGAGCCGCAGCCACAGGAGGAGCAGACAUAGCCGCAGCGACAACAGAGCAGAUGAGCACAGUGGCGUAGGUAAGCCACAAAGAUGAUGCUGGAAAGUUUUCGCAAUGUGUGGAUGCGCUUGUACUUACAUAGCUGAAGCUUCUCAAGCAUCUGAUCUAUCAUCGAGAGAGCCUGUGAAGAGAAUCGCCACUUGUUCCCAAAUCAAACAGAGGAUUGGUUCGUUAGCAGCGAUAGGCGGGAGCCCUAAGCUAGUGAAUCAAAACAAUUAGAAAGAGGACACCAAGGCUAAUCAAUCAAUCAAAGGGUGCUACCUCCAUCAUGGCAACCAGAUUUGCUAAUUUCAUCUGCCUAAUUUCAACCAGAUUUGCUUAUAACUACAAAUUGUACUACAAAUCAUGUUUGCUAAUUUAAUCUGGUUACAAUUGUACUACAAAUCAUGUUUGCUAA
Molecule: long non-coding RNA, 1675 nt
Filed under: Capsella rubella
Lineage: Eukaryota; Viridiplantae; Streptophyta; Magnoliopsida; Brassicales; Brassicaceae
Description: long non-coding RNA (CRUB_LNC000288)
Source: RNAcentral